GAUGAACGCUAGCGGCAGGCCUAAUACAUGCAAGUCGAGGGGCAGCAGGUUCGAGUUUACUUGAAUGCUGGCGACCGGCGAACGGGUGCGUAACGCGUAUGCAACCUACCCAUAACAGAGAGAUAGCCCGUGGAAACAUGGAUUAAUAUCCCAUAAAGCAGGGGUCUCACAUGGGACUAUUUGCUAAAGACUUCGGUUGGUUAUGGAUGGGCAUGCGUCUGAUUAGUUAGUUGGUGAGGUAACGGCUCACCAAGGCGAUGAUCAGUAGCGGGUCUGAGAGGAUGAUCCGCCACACUGGAACUGAGACACGGUCCAGACUCCUACGGGAGGCAGCAGUAGGGAAUAUUGGUCAAUGGGGGCAACCCUGAACCAGCCAUGCCGCGUGCAGGAAGACGGCCUUCUGGGUUGUAAACUGCUUUUAUCAGGGGGGAAGGCAAAAGAUGCGUCUUUUGAUUGACAGUACCUGAUGAAUAAGCACCGGCUAACUCCGUGCCAGCAGCCGCGGUAAUACGGAGGGUGCAAGCGUUGUCCGGAUUUAUUGGGUUUAAAGGGUGCGUAGGCGGAGCAAUAAGUCAGUGGUGAAAGUCCAUCGCUCAACGAUGGGAUUGCCAUUGAUACUGUUGUUCUAGAGUAAAGUUGAGGCAGGCGGAAUUUAUGGUGUAGCGGUGAAAUGCAUAGAUACCAUAAGGAACACCGAUAGCGCAGGCAGCUUGCUAAACUUUAACUGACGCUGAGGCACGAAAGCGUGGGGAGCGAACAGGAUUAGAUACCCUGGUAGUCCACGCUGUAAACGAUGAUCACUCGAUGUGUGCGAUAUACUGUACGUGUCCAAGCGAAAGCGUUAAGUGAUCCACCUGGGGAGUACGACCGCAAGGUUGAAACUCAAAGGAAUUGACGGGGGUCCGCACAAGC
RNAcentral lists this ribosomal RNA (912 nucleotides) under uncultured bacterium. Its description in RNAcentral is "bacterial SSU rRNA". It matches the Rfam family "Bacterial small subunit ribosomal RNA", at positions 28 to 930 of the family's 1533-position model. The record is from RNAcentral.